This 467-nucleotide ribosomal RNA is filed under the name uncultured Syntrophobacteraceae bacterium. RNAcentral's name for it is "bacterial SSU rRNA". It matches the Rfam family "Bacterial small subunit ribosomal RNA", at positions 337 to 795 of the family's 1533-position model. Lineage: Bacteria; Pseudomonadati; Thermodesulfobacteriota; Syntrophobacteria; Syntrophobacterales; Syntrophobacteraceae. The record is from RNAcentral.
UCCUACGGGUGGCAGCAGUGGGGAAUAUUGCGCAAUGGGGGAAACCCUGACGCAGCGACGCCGCGUGGGUGAUGAAGGCCUUCGGGUCGUAAAGCCCUGUCGGGAGGGACGAACCACCGGUGGAAUAAUACGCCACCGGCCUGACGGUACCUCCUAAGGAAGCACCGGCUAACUCCGUGCCAGCAGCCGCGGUAAUACGGAGGGUGCAAGCGUUGUUCGGAAUUACUGGGCGUAAAGCGCGUGUAGGCGGCCUGCUAAGUCUGGUGUGAAAGCCCGGGGCUCACCCCCGGAAGUGCAUUGGAAACUGGCAGGCUGGAGUACCGGAGAGGAGGGUGGAAUUCCUGGUGUAGCGGUGAAAUGAGUAGAUAUCAGGAAGAACACCGGUGGCGAAGGCGGCCCUCUGGACGGAUACUGACGCUGAGACGCGAAAGCGUGGGGAGCAAACAGGAUUAGAUACCCUUGUAGUC